This 973-nucleotide ribosomal RNA is filed under the name uncultured bacterium. RNAcentral's name for it is "bacterial SSU rRNA". It matches the Rfam family "Bacterial small subunit ribosomal RNA", at positions 57 to 1075 of the family's 1533-position model. The record is from RNAcentral.
GCAAGUCGAACGCAGUAGCAAUACUGAGUGGCAGACGGGUGAGUAACAUGUGGGAAUCUGCCUUGUGGUUCAGGACAACAUUGGGAAACCGAUGCUAAUACUGGAUAAGCCCUUACGGGGAAAGUUUUAAUGCCAUAAGAUGAGCCCGCAUUUGAUUAGUUAGUUGGUGAGGUAAUGGCUCACCAAGACAAUGAUCAAUAGCUGAUCUGAGAGGAUGAUCAGCCACACUGGGACUGAGACACGGCCCAGACUCCUACGGGAGGCAGCAGUGGGGAAUCUUGCACAAUGGAGGAAACUCUGAUGCAGCGAUGCCGCGUGAGUGAAGAAGGCCUUUGGGUUGUAAAGCUCUUUUGUAGGGGAAGAUAAUGACUGUACCCUAAGAAUAAGGUCCGGCUAACUUCGUGCCAGCAGCCGCGGUAAUACGAAGGGACCUAGCGUAGUUCGGAAUUACUGGGCGUAAAGCGCGCGUAGGCCGUUGAGUUAGUUAAUUGUGAAAUCCCAAAGCUUAACCUUGGAACUGCAAUUAAAACUGCUCGACUAGAGUUUGAUAGAGGAAAGCGGAAUACAUAGUGUAGAGGUGAAAUUCGUAGAUAUUAUGUAGAACACCAGUUGCGAAGGCGGCUUUCUGGAUCAACACUGACGCUGAGGCGCGAAAGUAUGGGUAGCAAAGAGGAUUAGAUACCCUCGUAGUCCAUACCAUAAACGAUGAUUGCUAGAUGUUGGAAAUUUAUUUUCAGUAUCGCAGCUAACGCAUUAAGCAAUCCGCCUGGGGAGUACGACCGCAAGGUUAAAACUCAAAUGAAUUGACGGGGACCCGCACAAGCGGUGGAGCAUGUGGUUUAAUUCGAAGAUACGCGCAGAACCUUAUCAACCCUUGACAUGUCUGUCGCGAGUUUAGGAAACUAGACUUUUCGGUUUCGCCUGACAGAACACAGGUGCUGCAUGGCUGUCGUCAGCUCGUGUCGUGAGAUGU